RNAcentral lists this ribosomal RNA (497 nucleotides) under uncultured bacterium. Its description in RNAcentral is "partial 16S ribosomal RNA". It matches the Rfam family "Bacterial small subunit ribosomal RNA", at positions 28 to 507 of the family's 1533-position model. The record is from RNAcentral.
GAUGAACGCUGGCGGCGUGCCUAAUACAUGCAAGUCGAGCGAACAGACGAGGAGCUUGCUCCUCUGACGUUAGCGGCGGACGGGGGAGUAACACGUGGAUAACCUACCUAUAAGACUGGGAUAACUUCGGGAAACCGGAGCUAAUACCGGAUAAUAUAUUGAACCGCAUGGUUCAAUAGUGAAGGACGGUUUUGCUGUCACUUAUAGAUGGAUCCGCGCCGCAUUAGCUAGUUGGUAAGGUAACGGCUUACCAAGGCAACGAUGCGUAGCCGACCUGAGAGGGUGAUCGGCCACACUGGAACUGAGACACGGUCCAGACUCCUACGGGAGGCAGCAGUAGGGAAUCUUCCGCAAUGGGCGAAAGCCUGACGGAGCAACGCCGCGUGAGUGAUGAAGGUCUUCGGAUCGUAAAACUCUGUUAUUAGGGAAGAACAAAUGUGUAAGUAACUAUGCACGUCUUGACGGUACCUAAUCAGAAAGCCACGGCUAACUACGUG